Molecule: ribosomal RNA, 440 nt
Filed under: uncultured bacterium
Lineage: Bacteria
Description: partial 16S ribosomal RNA
Rfam family: Bacterial small subunit ribosomal RNA
Source: RNAcentral
CCUACGGGGGGCAGCAGUGGGGAAUAUUGCUCAAUGGGGGGAACCCUGAUGCAGCAACGCCGCGUGAGUGAAGAAGUAUUUCGGUAUGUAAAGCCCUAUCAGCAGGGAAGAAAAUGACGGUACCUGACUAAGAAGCCCCGGCUAACUACGUGCCAGCAGCCGCGGUAAUACGUAGGGGGCAAGCGUUAUCCGGAUUUACUGGGUGUAAAGGGAGCGCAGACGGCUGUGCAAGUCUGGAGUGAAAGGCGGGGGCUCAACCCCCGGACUGCUCUGGAAACUGUAAAGCUGGAGUGCAGGAGAGGUAAGCGGAAUUCUUAGUGUAGGGGUGAAAUGCGUAGAGAUUAGGAGGAACACUAGUGGCGAAGGCGGCUUACUGGACUGCAACUGACGUUGAGGCUCGAAAGCGUGGGGAGCAAACAGGAUUAGAUACCCUUGUAGUC